UUAAGCGACUAAGCGUACACGGUGGAUGCCCUGGCAGUCAGAGGCGAUGAAGGACGUGCUAAUCUGCGAAAAGCGUCGGUAAGGUGAUAUGAACCGUUAUAACCGGCGAUGUCCGAAUGGGGAAACCCAGUGNCACUAUCGUUAACUGAAUACAUAGGUUAACGAGGCGAACCGGGGGAACUGAAACAUCUAAGUACCCCGAGGAAAAGAAAUCAACCGAGAUUCCCCCAGUAGCGGCGAGCGAACGGGGAGCAGCCCAGAGUCUGAAUCAGCUUGUGUGUUAGUGGAACGGUCUGGAAAGUCCGACGGUACAGGGUGAUAGUCCCGUACACCAAAAUGCACAGGCUGUGAACUCGAAGAGUAGGGCGGGACACGUGGUAUCCUGUCUGAAUAUGGGGGGACCAUCCUCCAAGGCUAAAUACUCCUGACUGACCGAUAGUGAACCAGUACCGUGAGGGAAAGGCGAAAAGAACCCCGGCGAGGGGAGUGAAAAAGAACCUGAAACCGUGUACGUACAAGCAGUGGGAGCACCUUCGGGUGUGACUGCGUACCUUUUGUAUAAUGGGUCAGCGACUUAUAUUCUGUAGCAAGGUUAACCGUAUAGGGGAGCCGCAGGGAAACCGAGUCUUAACUGGGCGUUAAGUUGCAGGGUAUAGACCCGAAACCCGGUGAUCUAGCCAUGGGCAGGUUGAAGGUUGGGUAACACUAACUGGAGGACCGAACCGACUAAUGUUGAAAAAUUAGCGGAUGACUUGUGGCUGGGGGUGAAAGGCCAAUCAAACCGGGAGAUAGCUGGUUCUCCCCGAAAGCUAUUUAGGUAGCGCCUCGUGAAUUCAUCUUCGGGGGUAGAGCACUGUUUCGGCUAGGGGGUCAUCCCGACUUACCAACCCGAUGCAAACUACGAAUACCGAAGAAUGUUAUCACGGGAGACACACGGCGGGUGCUAACGUCCGUCGUGAAGAGGGAAACAACCCAGACCGCCAGCUAAGGUCCCAAAGUCAUGGUUAAGUGGGAAACGAUGUGGGAAGGCACAGACAGCCAGGAUGUUGGCUUAGAAGCAGCCAUCAUUUAAAGAAAGCGUAAUAGCUCACUGGUCGAGUCGGCCUGCGCGGAAGAUGUAACGGGGCUAAACCAUGCACCGAAGCUGCGGCAGCGACACUAUGUGUUGUUGGGUAGGGGAGCGUUCUGUAAGCCUGCGAAGGUGACCUGUGAGGGUUGCUGGAGGUAUCAGAAGUGCGAAUGCUGACAUAAGUAACGAUAAAGCGGGUGAAAAGCCCGCUCGCCGGAAGACCAAGGGUUCCUGUCCAACGUUAAUCGGGGCAGGGUGAGUCGACCCCUAAGGCGAGGCCGAAAGGCGUAGUCGAUGGGAAACAGGUUAAUAUUCCUGUACUUGGUGUUACUGCGAAGGGGGGACGGAGAAGGCUAUGUUAGCCGGGCGACGGUUGUCCCGGUUUAAGCAUGUAGGCUGAUUAUCCAGGCAAAUCCGGAUAAUCAAGGCUGAGGUGUGAUGACGAGGCACUACGGUGCUGAAGUAACAAAUGCCCUGCUUCCAGGAAAAGCCUCUAAGCAUCAGGUAACAUCAAAUCGUACCCCAAACCGACACAGGUGGUCAGGUAGAGAAUACCAAGGCGCUUGAGAGAACUCGGGUGAAGGAACUAGGCAAAAUGGUGCCGUAACUUCGGGAGAAGGCACGCUGGUGUGUAGGUGAAGUCCCUGCGGAUGGAGCUGAGACCAGUCGAAGAUACCAGCUGGCUGCAACUGUUUAUUAAAAACACAGCACUGUGCAAACACGAAAGUGGACGUAUACGGUGUGACGCCUGCCCGGUGCCGGAAGGUUAAUUGAUGGGGUUAUCCGUAAGGAGAAGCUCUUGAUCGAAGCCCCGGUAAACGGCGGCCGUAACUAUAACGGUCCUAAGGUAGCGAAAUUCCUUGUCGGGUAAGUUCCGACCUGCACGAAUGGCGUAAUGAUGGCCAGGCUGUCUCCACCCGAGACUCAGUGAAAUUGAACUCGCUGUGAAGAUGCAGUGUACCCGCGGCAAGACGGAAAGACCCCGUGAACCUUUACUAUAGCUUGACACUGAACAUUGAGCCUUGAUGUGUAGGAUAGGUGGGAGGCUUUGAAGCGUGGACGCCAGUCUGCGUGGAGCCAACCUUGAAAUACCACCCUUUAAUGUUUGAUGUUCUAACGUUGGCCCCUUACCGGGGUUGCGGACAGUGUCUGGUGGGUAGUUUGACUGGGGCGGUCUCCUCCCAAAGCGUAACGGAGGAGCACGAAGGUUAGCUAAUCCUGGUCGGACAUCAGGAGGUUAGUGCAAUGGCAUAAGCUAGCUUGACUGCGAGCGUGACGGCGCGAGCAGGUGCGAAAGCAGGUCAUAGUGAUCCGGUGGUUCUGAAUGGAAGGGCCAUCGCUCAACGGAUAAAAGGUACUCCGGGGAUAACAGGCUGAUACCGCCCAAGAGUUCAUAUCGACGGCGGUGUUUGGCACCUCGAUGUCGGCUCAUCACAUCCUGGGGCUGAAGUAGGUCCCAAGGGUAUGGCUGUUCGCCAUUUAAAGUGGUACGCGAGCUGGGUUUAGAACGUCGUGAGACAGUUCGGUCCCUAUCUGCCGUGGGCGCUGGAGAAUUGAGGGGGGCUGCUCCUAGUACGAGAGGACCGGAGUGGACGCAUCACUGGUGUUCGGGUUGUCAUGCCAAUGGCACUGCCCGGUAGCUAAAUGCGGAAGAGAUAAGUGCUGAAAGCAUCUAAGCACGAAACUUGCCCCGAGAUGAGUUCUCCCUGAGACUUUAAGUCUCCUGAAGGAACGUUAAAGACGAUGACGUUGAUAGGCCGGGUGUGUAAGCGCAGCGAUGCGUUGAGCUAACCGGUACUAAUGAACCGUGAGGCUUAACCUU
RNAcentral lists this ribosomal RNA (2891 nucleotides) under Klebsiella pneumoniae. RNAcentral describes it as "bacterial LSU rRNA". It matches the Rfam family "Bacterial large subunit ribosomal RNA". Lineage: Bacteria; Pseudomonadati; Pseudomonadota; Gammaproteobacteria; Enterobacterales; Enterobacteriaceae. The record is from RNAcentral.